This 22-nucleotide microRNA is filed under the name Saccoglossus kowalevskii. Its description in RNAcentral is "sko-miR-33-3p". Its record names the gene sko-miR-33-3p. Lineage: Eukaryota; Metazoa; Hemichordata; Enteropneusta; Harrimaniidae. The record is from miRBase by way of RNAcentral.
CAGUGCUUCUGCAGUGCAAACA